Molecule: RNA transcript, 758 nt
Organism: Fragaria vesca subsp. vesca
Lineage: Eukaryota; Viridiplantae; Streptophyta; Magnoliopsida; Rosales; Rosaceae
Exons: 3
Source: RefSeq, a predicted model, not a curated record
CGUGUGAUUCACACCGGAGCCCUAUUAGUGGGAACACUAGGAAAAGGUGAUAGAGAUGAAUGUUGAGUGUGGGGCAGAGGGUGUGAUAAACGGCAUUGAAAAGUGAUGCAUGCUGUUUAUGUAAAAUUUGAAAUCAGCCAGAACUUUCUAGCUAAGCUUAUUAUUAGUAUAAAAGCCAUAGAAAUCUGGAAUUCCUCUUCCACAUACACACCAAACUUGGAGCUUCAGAGUUCAGAUUGAGUCUGUGUGCUUAGUUAGCAGAAGAUGAGCGACCCAAAAUAUGGUUAUCCCUACCCUGCUCAAGGCCAAGGUUAUUAUCAAGGCCCUCCAGUAAUGGCACCUCCACAGUAUGCUUAUGCUCCAGCUCCUCCACCCAAGAGAGAACCAGGUUUCCUAGAGGGAUGUCUUGCGGCUUUGUGUUGCUGUUGCCUUAUUGACGAGUGUUGCUGCGACCCCUCUGUCCUCUUCAUCUUCUGAAUCAUCAUCGUUACCAAUGAUAUGCAGAUCGAUUAGUUCAAUGAUAUAUCCCUGCGUACAUAUGCUUGGAUUAGUUCAAUUCCUCCUAUUUAUGUAAUGUGAGAUCUUGCUUGAUAUUGAUUUCUCGUAGUUUUUUAUGUACAAGACUCCUUAAUUAUUAAUCGUCUCCAUUGUCCCUGUAUGAUGUGAUGUGCUAUCUUCGACUUAGAUUUUUCGUGUUGAUUUUUUGCUUACUUGCAAGAUGAACACGAAGGCGGUAUACAAAAUUCAAAAUCAAUCUC